RNAcentral lists this long non-coding RNA (7544 nucleotides) under Brachypodium distachyon (stiff brome). RNAcentral describes it as "long non-coding RNA (BDIS_LNC001843)". The record is from RNAcentral. Lineage: Eukaryota; Viridiplantae; Streptophyta; Magnoliopsida; Poales; Poaceae.
CUCCGGGUCGCAUUCGCCGCCGAGCGAGGAGGUCGCCGCGAACGCCACGCUGCACGCAAUGGCGCGCUGGCGGUGGCGGUCCUGCCCAAGGAGUGCAGCCGGAGCCCCGCGUCGUGCAUGGUCUCUCUGAAUCACCGGACGCUGAACGGGCGGAGCGGCUGCCUGCGCGUUCAUGGGGUUACAUUGCAUACCCGGCAAGCGGCCGUCCAUGGCGCCGCUGAUCCAGCAGUCGCAGCCGGCGUCUGUGCCAGGUAUACUACUUGAACUACUUGAACUACGGAGUACUUGAACAUGACCCCCCCUUCACAUUAUUUCUCUCAUUUUAGCUCGCCUAUUACGAAAAGCAUCACAAUAUUCACUUUCUGAACCCCGCUAGUUUACUUGCAGCUCGUGAUGGACACACUUGUUGCCUUCUUUGGCUCAACGUCGACGAGGAUCACAAGAGAUGGUAACUGGUAACCUCCCAAGGUACCUACCACCACCCUAGGUUGUCCAUACAGCUUAAAAUUAUAUACUCCGUAGUACAUUUUAUGCUACACUGUACACAAAAUGCUAGGCAUUGGAAAUGUCAUGUUCCAUCUUUUAGCUGCAAGAUAUCACACCCAUGGAACCUUUUUUAUACAUUCAUUAAGGCGCCUGCAGUUUCAUAGUAAUAUAUCUAGAUUGCCCAAGGCAACUGUAAACUAUAGUAUCUCAAAUUGAUGAGUCCAACUUGAUUGCGUUGCCCAAAUCUUUGUAUUAUGUUGCGCUGGGGCGAAGUUCUACAAGUGAAGCAUAGGCUCCACCAGCGAUGCCCAUCAGUGUUUCAUGCCUCCCUUUCUCCACAAUUGUGCCGUCCUUCAGGACUGCAAUUAUAUCAGCUCCUUGGAUCGUCGAGAGGCGGUGUGCCACGAUGACAGUUGUCCUGCCAACCAUCAUGCGAUCCAAUGCAUCUUGAACAAUGCACUCUGACUCGGCAUCUAACGCACUAGUUGCCUCAUCCAGAAGAAGUACCCUCGGGUCCUUGAGAAUAGCUCUGGCGAUAGCUAUACGCUGUUUUUGCCCGCCUGAUAGUUGGGUUCCUCUGUCUCCAACAUUCGUGUUGUAACCCUGUGGCAUGCUUGAUAUGAAUUCAUGGGCAUUGGCCGCUUUAGCAGCCACGACAAUCUCAUCCUCAGUUAUCUCUCCAUGCUUUCCAUAUGCUAUGUUGGCAUGUAUUGUGUCAUUGAAAAGUAGUGGUUCUUGGCUUACCAAUCCCAUCUGGUCCCUCAACCAACUGAGCUUUAAGGUUUUGAUGUCCACUCCAUCGAAUAAGAUUACACCAGAUUCAAGAUCAUAGAAACGCUCUAGUAAAGCAAUUGCUGUAGAUUUGCCGCUGCCACUUUCACCAACCAGUGCAACAGUCUGCAAUAAACAGGUUGCUAAGUAAGUCCUUGGAAACAACUACGGAAGCACAGCAGAUUGGACCCUCAGAAUAACUGAGAGAAGAUGAGAAAAUUAGGGUUCUGGUUUAAUUAAGACCUUUCCAGAAGGAAUGCUCAAGGUAAAGUCACUGAAUAUUUGAACAUCCGGACGGGAUGGGUAUUUGAAGCUGAUAUGCAUAAAAUCAAUGUCACCCUUAACAAGAUCCAUAGUUGAACCUUCAAUGCUGCUGGAGUCAAUUUGUGAUUUUCUAUCUAAGAUUGUGAAUAUGGAAGUUGCAGAAUCAUUUGCCUUGGUUGAACAGGAAGCCAUAGUACUAGUUUGUGUUGCUCCAAUCAUGGCCACAGCUAAAGCAAAGAAAGCCUGCAUUACAAUAUUUUGAAGCAGAUAUAAAGAUAGAAUGUUCAUGAAGAAUCUUUUGGUGUUGUUGAAAUGAUUCGUACUGAUUACCUUGUAGACGUUGCCAAAAUUGGAAUUGCCCUGACUAACAAACUUGGCACCAACAUAGUAACAAAGAGCACAGGUGGAAUACAGCACCAUAUAUGAGAAGCCAAAACCAAGGCCUCCAACUAUUCCAGUUCGAAUUCCCUGAUUCUUAGAAGCUCGACACUUUUUAAUGUAUUUUGUCAUCACUCUCUUCUCAGCACAAAAAGACGAUACUGUUCUGAUGUUACUAACUGCUUCAGUUGCAACCUGACUUGCUUCUUCAUACAUGGUCUAUGAUCACAUAUCAACCAUAAAAAACAUAAAUUACAAUUGGCACCCAUGUGCAUUAAAAGACAACACUGGUUACAGCAUUGUAGCAGAGGCACUGUUAAUGAAAUGUGCUAACUUAUCCACAUUUUUUCAGCAUGAGGUCCGUAUUCAGUAUACCUAUCGAGCUUUUGCGCUUUAGGAAGGACAAAAGAAAGCAAAACUAAUACUAAAUAAAAAGUUCAUAACAUAAAGCUAGUUCAUGGCUCACCUUAGUAUCUUGACUAAACCCUUGUAAGAACUUUACUUGAGCAUAACCCUCGAGACCUAUUAGAGGAAUCACAAUUAAGAUGACCAGUGAAAGCUUCCAGUCUGCGCUCAUUGCUAUUACUAUUCCACAAAGAAGCGUUGAAGUACAUUGGACCAUCAAGGCCAAGUUACCCCCAACAAGACGCCUCACAUUAAGGGCAUCAACACAUAGCCUUCCACCUAGUGCUCCACUGCAAGAGGUGAAAGAGACAGUUAGUAUCUUGACUGUUCCAUUUUCGUGAAUAGAUCAAGAUAGCUCACCUAUUAUUUGCAGGAUGAUCAAACCAAGCAGCCUCUUGGUACACUAUGUUUUGAAAUGUCAAAACACGUAUUCUUUCUAUAAGUUUCCCACCAGCUAUUGCAAAUAGAAAGCUAUUUGCUAGCUUUGAUAUCAUACUCAUCGCACCCAACCCAACACAGAGCAAUCCCCAAAAGGUAGAAUCUUUCUGUCGCUUGUCUGCUGGUAAUUCAUAAAAUGUUUUAGCACUGGUAGCCAUUACAUAACCAAUCAUUGGGUAGACAGUUCCGUCAAUUGCAGCCGCAAGAGAACCAAAUAUAAGAAAUGCCAUUUCUGGUUUGUUUAGGCUAAUUAGGCGGCCCAUCGGGCCCUUCUUGGAGACCUUGCCAUUAGUGUUAUCGCUAUCAGCACCAUCAUAAUCUUGUAAUCCAGUAGGCCCAUGCAAGCUGUCUGGAGGGCUUAAAGAAUGAUGACUGGUCCCAGCUGCACUUCUGCUAGUUGAUCGUUUGAGUGAUUGACUUCUUUUAGAUAAUGAACCUGGUAAUCCAGCAUCUAAGUGGUCGCCAGUGUCUUGGUGUGCCUCUUGUAGCCGAAUAAGCUGAGAGUAUGCCCCACUAGGAUCCUUUACCAAUUUAUCAUGAUGUCCUAAAUGAACCACUUCAGUUUUAUUACUCUAUUUUGGCACAAACACAACGGAAAGAUCGAGCAGGGAGACACUAACCUUGUUCGAUUAGUUUUCCUUCAGAAACAACUGAGAUGCAGUGAGCAUUCCUAACUGUGCUCAAACGGUGCGCCACGAUAACCGUGGUCCUCCCAACCAUGAUCUUGUUUAGCGCUUCUUGGAGUACUCUCUCAGACUCUGAAUCCAAAGCACUAGUUGCUUCAUCGAGCAAAAGGAUUUUCGGAUCUUUUAGGAUUGCUCUUGCGACUGCGAUCCUUUGCUUCUGCCCCCCCGAAAGCUGAGCACCAUGUUCUCCAACUGCUGUGUCAUAACCCUGAAAUCAUAUGAAGGAGUCAUUAGGUUUAUGUUUGUAUAUGCAUGAUGGGUUAUUAUUGAACAGAUUGUGUUUAAUUUAAGUACAUUAGGCAAAUUCUCAAUGAAUCUUGCCGCGUUGGCAAGCUCAGCUGCUCUCUUGAUUUCUUCAAGUGUUGCAUCCUCUUUUCCGUAGGUUAUGUUCUCCUUGAUAGAUGUCAUGAAUAGCAUUGGUUCCUGGUUAACAAGGCCAAUCUUCCCUCUAAUCCAGUCUAGUUUAAAACUCUUGAUGUUCAUUCCAUCAAUCAACACUUCGCCAGCCCGUGGAUCAUAAAAUCUCUCAACCAGAUUGAUCACAGUUGAUUUGCCACUCCCACUCUCACCAACUAUGGCCAUUGUUGUGCCAGUUGAAACAUGCAUUGAAAAUCCAGCGAAUAUUAGUUGCUCUGGCCUGCUUGGAUAGCUGAAAAACACAUCCCUCAGCUCUAUAUCACCCUUGAUGUCUUCUAACACAACACUGGUAGUAUCAUCAUAGUCGAUCUUUGGUUUCCUAUUGAUUGUUGUAAACAACCUGUACGCCGCAACUCUCCCUUCCUCAAAGGCAGCAAUGCAGGGGGUUGCAUCACCCAAUGAUCUACCCCCAGACAGUUGAAAAGUUGCAUGUUAGAGCAGACAUACUAUCUUAAUAUUGUAUUGGUGGAAGUAUUAUUACUUGUGUCAGAACUAGCUACUUGUAUUUAUUUAUUUUUUAAAGGAGAGAGGCAGAUAUUGGUGGCAACUCAAGAAUCUGUUACAAAUCACAAGAGUCACAAGACAUGACUACGUGGCUACACCUCUAUGUCCUACUAAAACUAACAAGGAUUAGCAAAUGUUUUAAAUUACUAUACAUGUCUAUCUAUUGGUUGAAUUUAAUUAGUAAGCUGUUUUUUUUUGCGUUAAUACUAACCUUGCUGCUAUCAUGACGCAGAACAAUAUACUCAUGAUAUCUGCUCCACUAUAUCCUCCGCUGAGGGUUAACUUACUUCCAUACCAUAGAAUUAAUCCAAUGCCUGAGAAAGUGGCGAAGGUAAGGAAACCCAUGCCAAAACCUUGGAUAGUCCCUUCCUUGACCGUACCCUUGUAUGCCUUCUUUAUGUAAUUGUUGUAUAAGGUCAUGGCUUUCUUUUCACCAUUGAAUGAAGCCACCUGUUAUAAUAUGAAUACAUGUUAGUUGAGAAUUUGUCAUUCUUGAUUGCAGCAUCGACACCGGGCGUACCGUUUUUAUGGAUCCAAUUGUCUGUUCAACAAUAUCCCCUGCAUCGCUAUAUGAUUCUAGGCCCUCGCUAGAUACUUUGGACAUCAUCUUCGAUACGAUUCCAGCAGCAAAGAUUAUUGGUGGUAUAGUAGAAAGCAUUACAAGAGUUAGGAGCCACCCUUUAAUGAACGCCACCACAAACCCACCAAGGAAAGUUGUAAAAAGAUGUAGAAACUUCCCGACCUAGAGAAAAGGAAUGGGAAAUGUAAAAGAAGGAAUAACAAACUGUUAAUGGUGAACUUUACCAGUCUUACUACUAGUAAAAUUAUCGUCAAGUUCAUUUUCUCUCAGAGAUGGUUCACCAAACUCCAAAGCAGGAAAGGAUAAAGAUGAAGAGCUAUACUCUAAUGAUAGAAGUUGAAAGUUGAGACACCACUGGAAUAGUAGCUACGCAAUAUAUUUAUCUUUUCUGUCGCAGGUAAAGCAAAAGAAAGGCUCCAGGGUUUGUACCUUCUCUCCCAUAGCCUCCUGAAUAACUAUUGUGUCAGCACAUAUCCCAGAGACUACUUGUCCACCUUUUGUUUCCGUGUCAAAGAAUUCCAUGUCUUGUGUCAGGACCGACUCGAGAUACAAUGAUCGGAUGCGAUUUGCCUGCCUCUCCCCAGUCACCGUCCAACAUGAUAUCUCUGGUAAGCAUAGAUAUUAUGGUUAAGAAUGAUUUUAGUGACAUUCUAGAUUUUGAUCGAUGCAGCAAAAGCAUCAAUGAGCGAUUUGAUAUUGAGUACGAGCCUGUGCUAUUCACGUGUAUUAUCAUGCUCAAAUAGAUGCUGUUCCAAGGUACUGAUAUGAUCAAAGACAAUAGUGAUCGAGUUCAACUAUCGUCAAAUAUACUCAUAUACCCUCUUAUAUUUACAUGGUCAAGUAUGACAUUAAUUUACAACACAAUACAUAACUAUUAUACCAUGGUACUAUCUGGAACGUUUUUUGUUCUUGAGCAUCAUCCCCUGGGUAGCAGGUGGCCAGGAGAGGUGUUGCUUGACGAGGGCUAGUAGCAUUUGAUAGGAUCUAGUUGUAUCUUGCUUCUAGGAAGUAUAUAAAUAAUGCGAAAACUCAUGCAAAUUAAGGUACCAUAAUAGCAUGUGUACUGGUCAUGCUUCAAUGAGAAUAACCAUGCAAAAGAUACCAUAAAUGGCAUCUCUUCCAAUCAUACUUACGGAGGAAACAAGCGGGCAAUGUCCCAAUCCCUAAGUAGACGAACUCUAGGACCACCUGAAAGAAAUAUGCCAGCUAGAUAUAAAAUCUGUUAUUGCUUUUGAUAUUUUCAAAUAAAACAAAAACUUUCGAUGCAUAUGCUUAUUAUGAAUCAAGAAUCUCUUAGCAUUCCGUCAAAAGAAGAAUCUCUUAGCAGCUUAAUGCAUGCUAAUGCCAAACUUCAUUGUGUCCUUGUAGUCUUGCAGAAGCAAAAGGGGUUACCCUGUUGACUCUGGGAAGGACAGUGCUGGGGGUGGCGCCCCCAAAGGCGUCGACCAUCCGGCCAAAGACGAUUGUCAUGACCACCUGCGACAUGCCGGCAGCGAUCGCUCCGACGGUGCCGACAAGCAUCAGCACCACGUCCAUGGCGUCUGCGUUCUUGAACAGGUCAUGUAACGGCACCUUGCCAACUUUGGCCAGCUUCUUCUCGGUGCCAUUCUCCUUCUCUUGAUAUCCACCCUUCACAGCUGUUGCCGUGAUUGUUUCUCCCAUGCUAUGGCCACCAGGUUGUACUAGACUAGCUGAGUAGCUGUACUAUGGCUUUGGCUGCUACGUGUGUAAAGUAGCCGUAGCUUUUAUAGUGCCGAUGUCAUACGUUUUUCUUUGAAGGAGCCGAUGUCGUACGUUUCUAUUUGAAGGAGCCGAUGCCGUGCUUGUUAGUUAGCAGGUAUCCGUCUUGGUAGUUAGCAGGCAAUGUAGUCAAUCUUGUUAAUUAGUACUCCCUUCGUUGCUAAAUACAAAAUGAUUUACUCGCCUUACUUCUGUUCUAAGUCAGAGUUAAAGUUUGUGCAAAUUUAUAGAAAAAUCUACUAACAUCUACUCCGUACAACUCUAAAUUAGUUUUGUUAACUUCAUCGUAAUAUAUAUCUUCAUAGUAUAUCUAUUUAUUUGAUGUUGUCGUGUCAGUAUAUUUUUCUAUAAACUUAGUCAACCUUAUAUUUAGAAAUAGACACAGUAGCUGGUAACAGCAUUCGGAAGAGUAACCAUAACUUUUCUCGAGUAACAAGAGUAGCCACUGAUCAUUGAUGGAGUAACAAAAAGAAAAUGACCCAUAUGGUGACAGCCUAGAGGAUAGAACAUGCAUGUAUCGCAGCCCCACGGUCGAAUUAUGCAUGGCACUGACAGCAACUAGAAGCUGAAAUACUGUUGACCGUGAUUGAAAGGGCGCGAUGAUAAAUACUUGCGUGGGCAGCCCAACAACCGAAAUCCAUGAUGAUGGGCAGCUUGAAUAUGUGAUCUCUUCUUGCUCUUGCCAUUGCUUGACAGUAUACUGAAGUUGAAUUCUGCUGCUGAAUUUAAUACGACCUGUGCUGUUUUUGGCUUUUGCAGGUGUCUCCGUCAGAAGACUUCUCUCCGAUAAAGGAAGUAUUUAUCGACUCGCAAUGAUAGAACCAAAUUGGGCACCCCAACAACCGAAUUCAUGACGAGGGCAAUAUUGAACCAGC